CAAUCGAAGCAGUGAACUUAAGCCCCAGUAAACGGCGGCCGUAACUAUAACGGUCCUAAGGUAGCGAAAUUCCUUGUCGGGUAAGUUCCGACCCGCACGAAAGGCGUAACGAUUUGGGCACUGUCUCAACAACAGACUCGGUGAAAUUGUAAUUCCGGUGAAGAUGCCGGAUACCUGCGACAGGACGGAAAGACCCCAUGGAGCUUUACUGUAGCUUGACAUUGGGUCUUGGUACUACAUGUACAGGAUAGGUGGGAGGCUUUGAAACCAGGACGCCAGUUUUGGCGGAGCCAUCCUUGGGAUACCACCCUUGUAGUACUGGGACUCUAACCAUAGGCCAUGAAUCUGGUCUUGGGACACUGUCAGGUGGGCAGUUUGACUGGGGCGGUCGCCUCCCAAAAGGUAACGGAGGCGCUCAAAGGUUCUCUCAGUACGGUCGGAAAUCGUACGUAGAGUGUAAAGGCAAAAGAGAGCUUGAUUGCAAGACAUACAGGUCGAGCAAGGAUGAAAAUCGGACUUAGUGAUCCGGUGGUUCUGCGUGGAAGGGCCAUCGCUCAACGGAUAAAAGCUACCCUGGGGAUAACAGGCUUAUCUCCCCCAAGAGUCCACAUCGACGGGGAGGUUUGGCACCUCGAUGUCGGCUCAUCACAUCCUGGGGCUGUAGUAGGUCCCAAGGGUUGGGCUGUUCGCCCAUUAAAGUGGUACGCGAGCUGGGUUCAGAACGUCGUGAGACAGUUCGGUCCCUAUCCGUCGCAGGCGUAGGAAAUUUGAGAAGACCUGUCCUUAGUACGAGAGGACCGGGAUGGACG
This 809-nucleotide ribosomal RNA is filed under the name Clostridioides difficile. Its description in RNAcentral is "partial 23S ribosomal RNA". It matches the Rfam family "Bacterial large subunit ribosomal RNA", at positions 1896 to 2703 of the family's 2925-position model. The record is from RNAcentral. Lineage: Bacteria; Bacillati; Bacillota; Clostridia; Peptostreptococcales; Peptostreptococcaceae.